GCUGUGACCUGGCAGGGCAGGUGUGGGUGGCUGACAGGUGCAGUAAAGGGAGGGAAGGACUCGCCUGCUCGGUGACCCUCUCUCAGGGCCUCUCCCUCCCAGCACUUGUCACCCUGUAAGAUGAGUUACUUAUGUGGCGCUCGAGGCAUGAAAGUGACCAUCUCCUGACUUUUCUCAAUAACACAAAGGCCGGCUCUGAGAUUCAGCUCAUGAGGAAGCCAGGUCCAGCCACUUCUGGGCUGUCCUUACAGAAACGCCAUGAGGCCGUCACGAUCCAUGGUGGCCACCCUGCCCUUUCCCUUGCUGAGUCACCAGCAUGUCCCUGCUUCACUGGGGAGGCCUCUGCGAUGAGGUCCUGGUUCCCAGCAGGGACAGACACCCAAACCGUCACCUCCUGCAGCUGAUCCCGAGGGGCUGGGGCCUCACUCCUCCAGUCCCCCACAUUCAACACCGCAAAGCACUCAGAUCAGCUGUUCUCAUCGGAUUCACCUGCAGAGAUUUAAAAACUACUGACCACCGGCUCUCACCUCAGAUUUCCCAGUUUAAUCACCUGGAUGUAGUCUGGGCAUGGGGACUUUCGAAAGUUCCAAGUGAUUCUAACCUGCAGCCAAGAUUGAAGCGACUGCCAGCCCAGUUCCUCUUCACUGGGCACAGACAACAGGCACCUCCCCAGCUACCUGCAGAGCAGGAGCAGUUAACGUCAACAUGGGACGCCAGCCUCCUGCCUGCCCAGAUGCUGUGUCUUUAAAAGCCUUGCUAGGCUGAGGACAGGGGCUGAAGGGCGGCCUGAAGUGGGCAGCGUGGUACCGCUUGCCCAGAGUUUUGAAAACAAAAGCUUCUUCCUGUCCUCACCCAGCAGAUGCCUGUUCCACGGGACCGGGGACCUCGUCUGUGCUUCUACUGCUGUCUCCCUACUUUCCAGGACAGAGCCUGGCCCUCAGCCCAUCGCUGUUGUGGGAACAGAGGAGCGUCCGAGUGGAUGGAUGGAUGGGUGGGUGGAUACACCAUGAGCAUAUGGAUGGAUGAACAAGGAUCACCGCCUCUCGGGAGGCUGCAGAAAACCAGCCUUGCACUCAGGGUUUAUGGCCCCUUUCAAAAGCCAGAAUCGGCAAGGGGCAUCUGAAAGCAGAGCGGCCAAUAAAUUCAAUUUCUAAAAAGGCCAGAACCUCAGAGCCCCAGGAAGUUGUAUUAUAGCAAUUCACGUGGUUGCAAUUUAAGAUUUUAUAGGAGCAGCCACCGCGUCAGCCUCUCUGUCUUGUGACAAGCAGACCCCAUGACUGAGGAGCAGAAAGAAAGUGUGUUCCUCAGAAAGCCGUCGACCGCGAAGAGUGACCUUUCAGAUACAAUUUACAGGAGAAGAAAAAAAAUGCUGCAAUGAAAAGAAGAUUUUUGUCUUGCAUUCUUUCCCAGCUACCUUUGUUCCUGGAGGAAGCAUCUUUGAGCCAUCGUUGUGAAGGCCUUCUCUCUGCAGCUGUCCGGAAGGCAGCUCCCCAGGGCAGGGACGCCUCUGAGCGGGUGGGAGAUGGGAGGAUGGGAGGUGGCCGCUGUCAGCUCCUGUCCUGACCUGGCUUCAUUCGAGCUGUGCCUGAUGGGCGCGCAGGUCUGGAAGCCGCUCGCCUCUCUUCGUGCAGCCCUGCGAAUGAGGUGAUGUCCAUCUCACAGAAGAGGAAACUGAGGCCCUGCGUCACACAGCUGGCAGGUGAAAGAGCCGUGUGUUUGAGGCAAAGCCCAGUGACUGGCACCAGUAGAAAAGGUGGAGGAGGAGCCUGUGGUGGGGCACCGGCCUUGCCAGGCAGCAUCCAGGAGAACAAGUGCCCUAGGAAUCUGAGACUCGCCAUGGAUGCCAAGAACAGGACAGGAAACUGAGACCCAGAGAGGUGGAGCAAAAAUGCCCGAAAUUACGUAGUUGGUUAAGAGCAGAAUGGGGACUCGCACGUGCUUUCUGCUCUACGGUGCCACCUUCUCAAAGGAGGAAAUUUACCUGCCAGCCUUGCCCACAGGCCCAGACGGAGGAGUUCAACUUCUUCCCAGAGCUGGGGAGGAGCUCCAAGUGAUUACGCUGUGAAAUUGACCUGGCAGCUCAGCGUUGAGAUUGAAGCUAAUUAAUUUUGCCUGACUUGAUGGAAUCCUCUUCAUUCUCAAUCCUCUCUCUGCUCUUGGACAAAAGAUGAGUGAGGGGGAUGUGGAGGGAAAUGUAACUGGCAAAGUAGCUUCUCUGUGUGGCCACCUGGCGUUUCCCGUGUAGCCCACACUGGGUUUUCAAGCACAGACAUUCUCUUCUCAGGGGGUCUGGGUGGAAAGAA
Equus caballus (horse) is the source of this 2303-nucleotide long non-coding RNA. NCBI's taxonomy places the organism in Eukaryota, Metazoa, Chordata, Mammalia, Perissodactyla, Equidae. The record is from Ensembl.